GAUGAACGCUAGCGGCAGGCUUAAUACAUGCAAGUCGAGGGGCAGCAUGGGUAGCAAUACCUGAUGGCGACCGGCAAACGGGUGCGGAACACGUACGCAACCUUCCCAUAACUGGUGAAUAGCCCUCCGAAAGGAGGAUUAAUACACCGUAACAUAAUGAAGUGGCAUCACCUUAUUAUUAUAGCUCCGGCGGUUUUGGAUGGGCGUGCGCCUGAUUAGGUAGUUGGCGGGGUAAC
This 236-nucleotide ribosomal RNA is filed under the name uncultured bacterium. Its description in RNAcentral is "partial 16S ribosomal RNA". It matches the Rfam family "Bacterial small subunit ribosomal RNA", at positions 28 to 261 of the family's 1533-position model. The record is from RNAcentral.